Non-coding RNA from Chelonoidis abingdonii (Abingdon island giant tortoise), 375 nucleotides. The record is from RefSeq and is a predicted model, not a curated record. Lineage: Eukaryota; Metazoa; Chordata; Testudines; Testudinidae.
UCAGAGUCACUGGGAAAGCAGCCCACAACCUGGAGAGAGAGGUCAAGGACCUGCUGGCUAUAGAUGUGAUCCAGCCAUUUUACAGCCCAUGGGCCUCACCCAUGGGGCUGGUCCCCCAGGAAGAUGGGAUGAUCUGGUUUAGUGGGGACCUUCGGAAGCUUAAAGCCAUCACGGUGUCCGAUGCCUACCCCAUGCCUACGCCUGGAGAGAUUCUAGACAAGCUGAGGGGGAUGGAGAACUUGGCCCUGGCGUACACUGAUAACAUGUGCAUCUUUAGCCAAACCUGGGAGGAACAGGUGUCCCAGGUGAAGAGGGUGCUGGGCUGCCUCAAGGAGGUGGGACUGAUGGUAAAAGCUGGAAAGUGCAAGGGGGGAC